RNAcentral lists this ribosomal RNA (524 nucleotides) under uncultured bacterium. Its description in RNAcentral is "partial 16S ribosomal RNA". It matches the Rfam family "Bacterial small subunit ribosomal RNA", at positions 28 to 523 of the family's 1533-position model. The record is from RNAcentral.
GACGAACGCUGGCGGCGUGCCUAAUACAUGCAAGUCGAACGAAGCUUUUUUAACUGGUGCUUGCACCGACUUAAACAACUGAGUGGCGAACGGGUGAGUAACACGUGGGUAACCUGCCCCAAAGCGGGGGAUAAUAUUUGGAAACAGAUGCUAAUACCGCAUAACCACAGAAACCACAUGGUUUCUGUGUCAAAGAUGGUUUCGGCUAUCACUUUGGGAUGGCCCCGCGGCGUAUUAGCUAGUUGGUAAGGUAAUGGCUUACCAAGGCAAUGAUACGUAGCCGAACUGAGAGGUUGAUCGGCCACAUUGGGACUGAGACACGGCCCAAACUCCUACGGGAGGCAGCAGUAGGGAAUCUUCCGCAAUGGACGAAAGUCUGAUGGAGCAACGCCGCGUGAGUGAAGAAGGUUUUCGGAUCGUAAAACUCUGUUGUCAGAGAAGAACGUUUGCGAGAGUAACUGUUCGUGCAGUGACGGUAUCUGGCCAGAAAGCCACGGCUAACUACGUGCCAGCAGCCGCCGUAA